CUGAUCCGGAAGAAGAUAUUAACCACGUUGUUUUGUUUUUGUCAGCGCGAGCUAGUAUUUCGCUUUUAAUCCCCUAAAUAAUUAUUCUUCAGCCAUUGGGAAGUAAUUUGCUAAUUGUAAGUGCAAUAAAGAUUUUCCAUCCUGCAUCGAAGUCAAAUAUAUAAAAAGGCUGUUGGUGGGAGAUGAUCGUGUGAAGAAUGGUCUCAACUUCAUGUAUGAAGCUCCACCUGGGGCAGACAAGGGAAGGAGAAUCAGAAUACAAGUUUGAGUGGCAAAAGACGUCCCCUCGAGGGAAGUCCGUCGAUGCACCCCUCCGAGUUAAUGGCAGAGAUGCGAAACAGUGGGUUUGCCCUGAAGAAAUGUGUCCUUGGAAGAAAUUCUACUGUUUGUGAUCCAUCGCAGGAGUACGUUGUCAAUGAAGAAGAGGAGGAUCCUGAGGUUGAAUUCCUGAAGUCGUUGACCACUAAACAGCAAGAGAAGCUCCUCAAGAAACUUGAUCGUCUACAAAAGAAGAGUGAAGGAAAUCAGAAGAAGGACCGUGAUAGUAGUGACAGCUCCAGUGAAAGUAGUAGCAGUGACUGACUGACAGCUCCAGUGAAAGUAGUAGCAGUAUCUGACUGACGGCUCCAGUGAAAGUAGCAGCUGUGACUGACUGACAGCUCCAGUGAAAGUAGUAGCAGUGACUGACUGACAGCUCCAGUGAAAGUAGUAGCAGUGACUGACUGACAGCUCCAGUGAAAGUAGUAGCAGUGACUGACUGACAGCUCCAGUGAAAGUAGUAGCAGUAUCUGACUGACGGCUCCAGUGAAAGUAGUAGCAGCUGUGACUGACUGACAGCUCCAGUGAAAGUAGUAGCAGUGUCUGACUGACGGCUCCAGUGAAAGUAGCAGCUGUGACUGACUGACAGCUCCAGUGAAAGUAGUAGCAGCAGUGACUGACUGACAGCUCCAGUGAAAGUAGUAGCAGUGUCUGACUGACGGCUCCAGUGAAAGUAGCAGCUGUGACUGACUGACAGCUCCAGUGAAAGUAGUAGCAGUGACUGACUGACAGCUCCAGUGAAAGUAGUAGCAGUGACUGACUGACAGCUCCAGUGAAAGUAGUAGCAGUGACUGACUGACAGCUCCAGUGAAAGUAGUAGCAGUGUCUGACUGACGGCUCCAGUGAAAGUAGCAGCUGUGACUGACUGACAGCUCCAGUGAAAGUAGUAGCAGUGACUGACUGACAGCUCCAGUGAAAGUAGCAGCAGUGACUGACUGACGGCUCCAGUGAAAGUAGUAGCAGUGUCUGACUGACGGCUCCAGUGAAAGUAGCAGCUGUGACUGACUGACAGCUCCAGUGAGUGACUGACUGACAGCUCCAGUGAAAGUAGUAGCAGUGACUGACUGACAGCUCCAGUGAAAGUAGUAGCAGUGACUGACUGACAGCUCCAGUGAAAGUAGCAGCAGUGACUGACUGACAGCUCCAGUGAAAGUAGCAGCAGUGACUGACUGACAGCUCCAGUGAAAGUAGCAGCAGUGACUAAGAGUCUGAAGAGAAAGAAAGAAAGGCAAGAGAAAGGACUCCUGUCGUGAUGACAACACUGAGUGAUGGAUGAGUCUAGAGUAAGACCAAGCCCAACCUCCAGACAGAAACAGCACAAAGAUGAUACCAGAGAGGAGAAAGAAACAGUAGAGAUGAGACACGACAGCAGGGAGAGGCAGAGAACCAGCAGCAGCUCCCAGCCUGGCCCAGACAGAAGCAGAAGGAGAGAGAUAUAAAGACAAGGUUCACAGUAGAGAUGAGGCAAACAGUAGAAGAGAGAUGGAUAGAAGUAGGAGCAGAGAUGGAGCAAAGAAUAAAGCAGCCGCAAAGGGAGGAGUAGGAUCCUAGAUGGAGGGAGGGAGAGAGGGGGGAGGCAAAGGGAGGAGCCGGAGCAGAGGGAUGGAGAAUGAGAAAAGAGCCAGAGGGAGAGCUGAGAGAAAGCACUGAACUGUGAGAGUAGACAAUCUUACAAAGUGGGUUAGUGAUACCAUUUUAUUUUGCUGAUGUAAACAUUUUUGACACGUUUUGAUGAUUUUACGAUGCUAUUGUUAAUAUGUACAUUUUUCUUGGUGGGCCCAAUUAUUAAACAAACACAUAGAAACCAAAGUUUUAGUAACACCAUGUUUUGGUGUUGCAUGCUAGUUGGCUGCUACGGUCAAAUGAGUGCAGGGGCGUAUUCAUUAUGACGAUUCUGUUGCAAAAUGUUGAACAGAAGCAAACUGAAUGAAACCGGGAGGGGCCUACCUGAAUUUGACCAAUAGAAACUGUUCAAAAUGUUCCAUUUUGCUACUGUUAGGACGAGUGAUUGCACCCCUGCUCCUCAAAUAGUUCUUAUUUUCAUCCACUAGAGGGCAGCAGUAGACCUAAAAUAACUUGAACCACAGAAAUAAUUUGCAUUUGUCAGAUUAUUGAACAAAUGCAUGCCUUGCAUGCACUAUUAUAGAUGGUUGUCAGUUUAGUCCAGAAAACCCUCUUCAGAAUUCUAAUAAAAAAUAUUAUUGCAACUCGAAUUUUAAAAAUAGUGAACUGUGCUCACAUGGUUGUGACCGUUCUUCAUUACAUGUGUUACAAGUCUACCUUAAUAAUGUAGGCUUGUUUCAAAGUGGUCUUCUGGAAGUGGCCUAAACGGGAGCGUGGUUGACUAAUGACAAUCAAUCUAUGAUUGUUCAUUAUGCGAUGCAUAAGAUUAGGCCUGCGUAAGUGAUUAGUGUGGAGACAUCAAGUUUGUUUCAAAUAUUUAAUACUGAAUACUUAAUUCUGACUCGAGAUCAAUACAUGAAACUUUCCUCUUUCUGCAAAACCCAGUGUAUGAUUUACUCAACAUUGCGCGCCUAUCGGCCUUUAGAGAUUACUUGUUGCAUUACUUGCAUGACAUCAUCAUGAUGGACAAAACAGAAGGAACGAUGAGGUCGAGUGCCUAUUUGUUUUGGAGACAUAUAUUUUAUGGCAAAGAAAUAACUCCUGCGUCGAUAUGAUUUGUUAAGAAUUCCUGAUCAGGAAAAUGAAUUUCUUACAUGUUUUAUUUUAUUUCAGUCGCUUCAAAUGUGUAUGUUCUGUAUAGACAGACCAUGUAACCUUUUGCAAUGAUACUCCGAGGUGUGCACCUAAAUACUGUAGACCUAUGCCAAUUUGUUUGAUUAAUUGUUAUUUUAUCAUUAUCACAAUACAAGUAUUUUUUGUGACCUUC
This is a long non-coding RNA of Oncorhynchus masou masou (cherry salmon), 3208 nucleotides long. RefSeq lists it as uncharacterized. NCBI's taxonomy places the organism in Eukaryota, Metazoa, Chordata, Actinopteri, Salmoniformes, Salmonidae. The record is from RefSeq and is a predicted model, not a curated record. The transcript is spliced from 6 exons.